UAACUGAAGAGUUUGAUCAUGGCUCAGAUUGAACGCUGGCGGCAGGCUUAACACAUGCAAGUCGAGCGGGGGAAGGUAGCUUGCUACCGGACCUAGCGGCGGACGGGUGAGUAAUGCUUAGGAAUCUGCCUAUUAGUGGGGGACAACAUCUCGAAAGGGAUGCUAAUACCGCAUACGUCCUACGGGAGAAAGCAGGGGAUCUUCGGACCUUGCGCUAAUAGAUGAGCCUAAGUCGGAUUAGCUAGUUGGUGGGGUAAAGGCCUACCAAGGCGACGAUCUGUAGCGGGUCUGAGAGGAUGAUCCGCCACACUGGGACUGAGACACGGCCCAGACUCCUACGGGAGGCAGCAGUGGGGA
Molecule: ribosomal RNA, 357 nt
Filed under: Acinetobacter baumannii
Lineage: Bacteria; Pseudomonadati; Pseudomonadota; Gammaproteobacteria; Moraxellales; Moraxellaceae
Description: bacterial SSU rRNA
Rfam family: Bacterial small subunit ribosomal RNA
Source: RNAcentral